ACAAUGAAGUCACAGUUGGGCUAGCAAAUUCAGUUGUGAUGUCUGGCCAGACAUAUCGAGUGACCAAUUGCGCCGCAGCCCGGCCAGUUACAGCAUCGGGUUACUAUGGUUACGACGCACAUGCAGGUCGUGCUGUGCAUGAUGCCAGUCACUGGAGCCGGAAGAGGGGACGGACUACAUGCGGCCGGGCAGGCGUGAACGGGCACUGGCGGGUUUUCUUCAUCUUUAUAAGGCAGAUGUUACAGCAUCAGUAUUUGCAAGAAAUCACAGAAAAGUAGCCCUCCAGACAACUUUCCUCAGCAGUCUACCUACUUGGAUAGUGUAACCCACCUACUCUACGCUAAAUAAACACACAG
Pseudophryne corroboree (corroboree frog) is the source of this 356-nucleotide long non-coding RNA. RefSeq lists it as uncharacterized. NCBI's taxonomy places the organism in Eukaryota, Metazoa, Chordata, Amphibia, Anura, Myobatrachidae. The record is from RefSeq and is a predicted model, not a curated record. The transcript is spliced from 3 exons.